RNAcentral lists this long non-coding RNA (460 nucleotides) under Mus musculus (house mouse). RNAcentral describes it as "predicted gene 44693". Lineage: Eukaryota; Metazoa; Chordata; Mammalia; Rodentia; Muridae. The record is from RNAcentral.
UGCUAGAUCCUUGGACUUCCAUUCACAGCUGCGACUGAACAAUUGUUGGGAAUUGGGCUGCCGACUAUUUUCAAUUGCAAUAUCAGCCACUUCUAAACUACUUGUUUAAGCUGUUGAUUUGGAGAAAAGAAAGAAACAAGAACACAGUAUCACCAUGCAAGAUGAGGAAGAAAGACUAUAAUAGUCAGAGAUCAUCAAGGUCUACUUAGAAACAUUAUCUCCCAGACAUAACAGGCUCAUUACACAUAUGAAAUCACAGAAACUCUGACCAUAUGGAAAAUGACUGCAUUAAGUAAAAUCAGACACAAUCCCAACUUAGACCAGGGAGUAGCUCAUGAAGCUCAAUCCUGGAUGAGAUGCUUCCGGAAACGGCUGACUCCUGGGAAAGAAGAAGAAGAAGUAUUAUUUAGAGAUGCAGCCCCUAGAAGACUACCUAUAUCACAGUAGAUAGUUGUACACC